Molecule: ribosomal RNA, 468 nt
Filed under: uncultured bacterium
Lineage: Bacteria
Description: partial 16S ribosomal RNA
Rfam family: Bacterial small subunit ribosomal RNA
Source: RNAcentral
GACGAACGCUGGCGGCGGGCUUAACACAUGCAAGUCGAACGGAAAGGCCCUGCUUUUGUGGGGUGCUCGAGUGGCGAACGGGUGAGUAACACGUGAGUAACCUGCCCUUGACUUUGGGAUAACUUCAGGAAACUGGGGCUAAUACCGGAUAGGAGCUCCUGCUGCAUGGUGGGGGUUGGAAAGUUUCGGCGGUUGGGGAUGGACUCGCGGCUUAUCAGCUUGUUGGUGGGGUAGUGGCUUACCAAGGCUUUGACGGGUAGCCGGCCUGAGAGGGUGACCGGCCACAUGGGGACUGAGAUACGGACCAGACUCCUACGGGAGGCAGCAGUGGGGAAUAUUGCACAGUGGGCGGGAGCCUGAUGCAGCAACGCCGCGUGCGGGAUGACGGCCUUCGGGUUGUAAACCGCUUUCGCCUGUGACGAAGCGUGAGUGACGGUAAUGGGUAAAGAAGCACCGGCUAACUACGUG